Molecule: small nucleolar RNA, 70 nt
Filed under: Anas platyrhynchos (mallard)
Lineage: Eukaryota; Metazoa; Chordata; Aves; Anseriformes; Anatidae
Description: Small nucleolar RNA SNORD58 (ENSAPLG00020018150.1)
Rfam family: Small nucleolar RNA SNORD58
About the family: snoRNA U58 is found in introns 1, 3 and 6 of the ribosomal protein RPL17 gene in humans. U58 is a member of the C/D class of snoRNA which contain C (UGAUGA) and D (CUGA) box motifs.
Source: RNAcentral
UGGCGGUGAUGACUAUCUUAGGACACCUUUGGAAUGACCGUGAAAUAAUCUUUUUUUUUUUCUGAGCCAU